Molecule: unclassified non-coding RNA, 306 nt
Filed under: uncultured fungus
Lineage: Eukaryota; Fungi
Description: sequence contains ITS2
Rfam family: 5.8S ribosomal RNA (bases 1-52)
Source: RNAcentral
AACGCACCUUGCGCCCCUUGGUAUUCCGAGGGGCAUGCCUGUUUGAGUGUCUUGAAAUCAUCAAACCGAACCGGUCUUUGUUGCCGGUGCGGUUUGGACUUGGGGGUUUUCUUUGCUGCCGCUUGCGGUGGCUCCCCUUAAAUUGAUCGGUCGGGCUUUCGUGCGGCUCUGUCCCUUGGCGUUGUAUUACCCUCGUCGCUGGAUGGCUCGCGAUAUAGCGCCCUUCUUUGACUUGCCUCUGGAGUGGCGGUCUUCAACUUUUUGUGAUCUGACCUCAAAUCAGGUAGGACUACCCGCUGAACUUAA